This 253-nucleotide ribosomal RNA is filed under the name uncultured bacterium. RNAcentral describes it as "partial 16S ribosomal RNA". It matches the Rfam family "Bacterial small subunit ribosomal RNA", at positions 524 to 776 of the family's 1533-position model. The record is from RNAcentral.
UACGUAGGGGGCAAGCGUUGUCCGGAAUCAUUGGGCGUAAAGAGCGCGUAGGCGGCCCUGUAAGUCCGCUGUGAAAGUCAAGGGCUCAACCCUUGAAUGCCGGUGGAUACUGCAGGGCUAGAGUCCGGAAGAGGCGAGUGGAAUUCCUGGUGUAGAGGUGAAAUUCGUAGAUAUCAGGAGGAACACCGGUGGCGAAGGCGGCUUUCUGGACGACAACUGACGCUGAGACGCGAAAGCGUGGGGAGCAAACAGG